Molecule: ribosomal RNA, 429 nt
Filed under: Acidobacteriota bacterium
Lineage: Bacteria; Pseudomonadati; Acidobacteriota
Description: Acidobacteria bacterium partial 16S ribosomal RNA
Rfam family: Bacterial small subunit ribosomal RNA
Source: RNAcentral
UGGGGAAUUUUGGACAAUGGGGGAAACCCUGAUCCAGCCAUCCCGCGUGUGCGAUGAAGGCCUUCGGGUUGUAAAGCACUUUUGGCAGGAAAGAAACGUCAUGGGUUAAUACCCCGUGAAACUGACGGUACCUGCAGAAUAAGCACCGGCUAACUACGUGCCAGCAGCCGCGGUAAUACGUAGGGUGCAAGCGUUAAUCGGAAUUACUGGGCGUAAAGCGUGCGCAGGCGGUUCGGUAAGAAAGAUGUGAAAUCCCAGAGCUCAACUUUGGAACUGCAUUUUUAACUACCGGGCUAGAGUGUGUCAGAGGGAGGUGGAAUUCAGCGUGUAGCAGUGAAAUGCGUAGAUAUGCGGAGGAACACCGAUGGCGAAGGCAGCCUCCUGGGAUAACACUGACGCUCAUGCACGAAAGCGUGGGGAGCAAACAGG